This 1502-nucleotide ribosomal RNA is filed under the name termite gut metagenome. Its description in RNAcentral is "bacterial SSU rRNA". It matches the Rfam family "Bacterial small subunit ribosomal RNA". The record is from RNAcentral.
AGAGUUUGAUCCUGGCUCAGAACGAACGCUGGUGGCGUGUCUGAUGCAUGCAAGUCGAGCGAGUCGGGCAGCAAUGCCCAGGCGAGCGGCGGACGGGUGAGUAACGCGUGAGCAACCUGCCCCCUAGUUGGGAACAACCGGCCCAACGGCCGGCUAAUGCCGGAUAUUGCGGGGAGUCGCAUGGCUCCUUAGCGAAAGAUUCAUUGCUAGGGGAUGGGCUCGCGUCCGAUUAGGCAGUUGGCGGGGUAAAGGCCCACCAAACCUACGAUCGGUAGCCGGCCUGAGAGGGCGAACGGCCACAUUGGGACUGAGAUACGGCCCAGACUCCUACGGGAGGCAGCAGCAGGGAAUAUUGCGCAAUGGGGGCAACCCUGACGCAGCGACGCCACGUGUGGGAAGGAGCGCCUAGGCGUGUAAACCACUGUCGUGGGGGAACAGCCUGCAGCUUCGGCUGCAUUGAGCGUACCCCGAGAGGAAGCACCGGCAAACUUCGUGCCAGCAGCCGCGGUAAUACGAGGGGUGCGAGCGUUGUUCGGAAUCACUGGGCGUAAAGGGAGCGUAGGCUGCCCUGCAAGCCGGGCGUGCAAUGCUGGGGCCCAACCCCGGCCUUGCGCCCGGGACUGCGGGGCUUGGAUGUUCCAGAGGCUGGCGGAAUUCCCGGUGGAGCGGUGGAAUGCGUAGAUAUCGGGAAGAACACCGAGGGCGAAGGCGGCCAGCUGGGGAAUCAUCGACGCUGCGGCUCGAAAGCGCGGGUAGCAAACAGGAUUAGAUACCCUGGUAGUCCGCGCCGUAAACGAUGCGCGCUUGGCGCCCGGGGGUUUAUGCCCCUGGGUGCCGUAGCCAACGCGAUAAGCGCGCCGCCUGGGGAGUACGCCCGCAAGGGUGAAACUCAAAGGAAUUGACGGGGGCCCGCACAAGCGGUGGAGCAUGUGGUUUAAUUCGACGCAACGCGCAGAACCUUACCAGGGUUUGACAUGGGGAAGAGGUAGCCAGAGAUGGCUGCGCCCAGCAAUGGGCUUCCCGCACAGGUGCUGCAUGGCUGUCGUCAGCUCGUGUCGUGAGAUGUUGGGUUAAGUCCCGCAACGAGCGCAACCCGUGCCCUUGGUUGCCAAUAUGGCUCUCCAGGGGGACUGCCGGGGACAACCCGGAGGAAGGUGCGGACGACGUCAAGUCCUCAUGGCCCUUACAUCCUGGGCCACACACGUGCUACAAUGGGGGGCACAGAGGGAAGCCAGGCCGCGAGGCCGAGCGGAUCCCGAAAGCCUCCCCCAGUUCGGAUAGGAGUCUGCAACCCGACUCCUUGAAGCCGGAAUCGCUAGUAAUCGCGGAUCAGCAUGCCGCGGUGAAUACGUUCCCGGGCCUUGUACACACCGCCCGUCAAGCCAUGGGAGGGGAGAGCGCUCCAAGACGUGCAGCUAACCCGCAAGGGAGCGGGCGUCCAAAGCGAGAUCCCUGACUGGGGCUAAGUCGUAACAAGGUAGCCGUACCGGAAGGUGCGGCUG